This 1326-nucleotide unclassified non-coding RNA is filed under the name Leishmania donovani. RNAcentral's name for it is "gene:LdHU3.27.1580(CDS-product:Emopamil_binding_p rotein_putative)". Lineage: Eukaryota; Euglenozoa; Kinetoplastea; Trypanosomatida; Trypanosomatidae. The record is from RNAcentral.
CUCUGGCAUCACGCAUGCACCUGCACGGACACGCACGCACCGCACACAUAUCAGCUUGAUCUUCGUAGCGUACACAUCUAAUGGGUUUACAUAUAUAUGCCGCAUAAGCCGUUUUUCGUGCAUAACUCCCCCAGUCCGUAGACGUGUUCAUCACUGUUUGCGAAUAUACACGCACGUGCAUAUUGAGCAGCGAACGAACAACCACAGAAAAAAUGCCGCAGGCCGCACUUCCACUACUGGCAAAGAUUUGGUUCCUUGUCGUGGCCCCCGUUGUCAUCUUGGAUGCCAUCUUCGUGCUUACGCGCGCCAAGAGCGUCAACCUGCCGCACCCCCUGGCCGAGGUAGUCCCUUUCAGAUACUGGGCCAUCUACGCCCGGUACGACCGGCGUUACGCUGCGAACGAUGACCCCUUUGUCGUGGUGCAGUCGUGGCUGAACCUGGUGGAGGUGGCGAUGGGGCUCUUCGUGACGCUGCUUGCUAUAUGCGAUGCUCAAAACCUCGCCAUCAAACUUGCGAUCGUUGUGUGCCUGAUGACGCUAUACAAGACCGUCUUCUACUGCCUCAUCGAAAUCGCCGAGGGAGGCAAACACACGCGGCACAACACCGUUUCAGAGAAGUUGACAAUGCUCAUCGCGCCAUUGUCGGUGUGGAUUUUAAUUCCGUCCCUCAUUCUUCGUCAGUGCUUCCGCGCGCUCGCCGUCGCAAGCGUGCCAGGAUCCUUCAAGCCAAAGGCCACGGUGUCCCAGCAUUAUCAGCAGCAAAAACACCACGGCAACAACAAUAAUCAAGGCAAGAAGAAGAACUAGAAGCCAUCGGCUUUGCCACGUGAUUGUUGAUACACACGUGUGUGGUGCGCUACCAAGUACCCCCCCUCUCUCUACAUGCCUCUUGUCUUCAUGUGGAGGGGGAAGCGGGUGUUCCCGUGCGGGCGUAGGCUUUUCUCAAUCGUGCCACCGCCACACUUCCACUCCCGAUCGCGUUCUACUGCACCACCUGCACCCUGUUCCUGCCAUCUGCACCAUCUUCCAUGAUGGCCUUCAAAUGCGCCUGGAGGUGCUGUGUGCUCAUUUCGUUGACGUCAAAUCUACCAUUAUUGUACUUCAGGGUUCCUGGGCGAAGGCUGAUGUACCACGCACUCCCCAAAAGUGAUCAGGUGACAGCCUUUUCAGCGAUCUUCUCGACCCCCUCCCCCCCCCUUCGGGUGGGGGGAGAGGUUUUGAUAUCGUUGAUCUUGUUCAAAUAUGGAGCAUAAACCAGGUUCCACGCAGUACCUCGGCACUGUAUCUGUACUUUUGUCUGUUUAUAUUCCGAUACCUCAACACAAAG